CAAUAGCGUAUAUUAAAGUUGUUGCGGUAAAAAAGCUCGUAGUUGGAUUUCUACCGAAGAUAGCCGGUCGGGUCUUCGACCUUGUAUCUGGUUUUGUCUUUGGUAUCCUCAUAGGGAACGUUUCUGCGCUUUAUUGCGUGGUGCGGUAUCUAUGACUUUUACUUUGAGGAAAUUAGAGUGUUCACGGCAGGCAAACGCCUUGAAUAUAUUAGCAUGGAAUAAUAACAUAGGAUCUUCGUCCUAUUUUGUUGGUUUCUAGGGCUGAGAUAAUGAUUAAUAGGGAUAAUUGGGGGCAUCUGUAUCAACGCGUCAGAGGUGGAAUUCUUGGAUUGCGUUGCGACAAACUACUGCGAAAGCAUUUGCCAAGGAUGUUUUCAUUGA
Molecule: ribosomal RNA, 381 nt
Filed under: uncultured eukaryote
Lineage: Eukaryota
Description: partial 18S ribosomal RNA
Rfam family: Eukaryotic small subunit ribosomal RNA
Source: RNAcentral